Molecule: ribosomal RNA, 62 nt
Filed under: Succinea caduca
Lineage: Eukaryota; Metazoa; Mollusca; Gastropoda; Stylommatophora; Succineidae
Description: partial 16S small subunit ribosomal RNA
Source: RNAcentral
UGGUCCUGAUGAUUUGGUUACUUUUCAUAAUUUUCAUAAAAUUUGAUAAUUAUUUAGAAAUU